Molecule: ribosomal RNA, 448 nt
Filed under: uncultured bacterium
Lineage: Bacteria
Description: bacterial SSU rRNA
Rfam family: Bacterial small subunit ribosomal RNA
Source: RNAcentral
UCCAGACUCCUACGGGAGGCAGCAGUGGGGAAUAUUGCACAAUGGGGGGAACCCUGAUGCAGCGACGCCGCGUGGGUGAAGGAGCACCUCGGUGCGUAAAGCCCUAUCGGCAGGGAAGAAACAGACGGUACCUGACUAAGAAGCCCCGGCUAACUACGUGCCAGCAGCCGCGGUAAUACGUAGGGGGCAAGCGUUAUCCGGAUUCACUGGGUGUAAAGGGAGCGUAGACGGCGACGCAAGUCUGGAGUGAAAGCCCGGGGCCCAACCCCGGGACUGCUCUGGAAACUGCGUCGCUGGAGUACGGGAGGGGCAGGCGGAAUUCCUGGUGUAGCGGUGAAAUGCGUAGAUAUCACGCAGAACCCCGAUUGCGAAGGCAGCCUUCCGGCGCCCUACUGACGCUGAGGCACGAAAGUGCGGGGAUCGAACAGGAUUAGAUACCCCAGUAACA